UAGGGAAUAUUGGACAAUGGGGGAAACCCUGAUCCAGCCAUGCCGCGUGUGUGAUGAAGGCCUUCGGGUUGUAAAGCACUUUUAGUUGGGAAGAAAACAAUGACGGUACCAACAGAAAAAGCACCGGCUAACUCUGUGCCAGCAG
RNAcentral lists this ribosomal RNA (145 nucleotides) under uncultured Microcystis sp. RNAcentral describes it as "partial 16S ribosomal RNA". It matches the Rfam family "Bacterial small subunit ribosomal RNA", at positions 355 to 514 of the family's 1533-position model. Lineage: Bacteria; Bacillati; Cyanobacteriota; Cyanophyceae; Chroococcales; Microcystaceae. The record is from RNAcentral.